UACGAACCAUAUGACUGAUGAUUUGAAGGAAAUGGGUGACUAAGCGACGUGCCGUUCAUUUUAUUUGCUUGUUAUUAUAUUUGGAUUAAGCGAUCGAGUGUUUUCUUUCAGGAUUAAUACUUGAUGAUGUGGUCGAGCUUCCAACCAUUGUUCCGGAAGUCUCAAUUAUGGGGAGUCUUAUUUUUCUUAGAGCUGCAGUAGUCAAGAUAUUAGAGUUAGCUUGUAGCAAACAAUUUAUGUUUAUUUUAUGCCAUGACAUAAUAAUGUAUUUUGGGAAAAUGAAUUAUCCAGGAAUUUAAUAUAUGGUUAAUUGGUAUUUUAUACAGAGUAGUUUGUGUGUU
Long non-coding RNA from Mercurialis annua (annual mercury), 341 nucleotides. RefSeq lists it as uncharacterized. The record is from RefSeq and is a predicted model, not a curated record. NCBI's taxonomy places the organism in Eukaryota, Viridiplantae, Streptophyta, Magnoliopsida, Malpighiales, Euphorbiaceae. The transcript has 2 exons.